CAUUAGAUGUCUGAAAUUAAAGAAUUGAUCUUUUAAAUCAUUUAUAGUAAAUAAAAGCUUACUUCUAAUGA
RNAcentral lists this transfer RNA (71 nucleotides) under Bombus waltoni. Its description in RNAcentral is "tRNA-Lys". The record is from RNAcentral. Lineage: Eukaryota; Metazoa; Arthropoda; Insecta; Hymenoptera; Apidae.